AGUUUGAUCAUGGCUCAGAUUGAACGCUGGCGGCAUGCCUAACACAUGCAAGUCGAACGGUAACAGGACUAGCUUGCUAGUUGCUGACGAGUGGCGGACGGGUGAGUAAUGUAUAGGAACUUGCCCAGUAGUGGGGGACAACAUGUGGAAACGCAUGCUAAUACCGCAUACACUCUACGGAGGAAAGCGGGGGCUCUUCGGACCUCGCGCUACUGGAUAGGCCUAUAUUGGAUUAGCUAGUUGGUAAGGUAAAGGCUUACCAAGGCGACGAUCCAUAGCUGGUUUGAGAGAAUGAUCAGCCACACUGGGACUGAGACACGGCCCAGACUCCUACGGGAGGCAGCAGUGGGGAAUAUUGCACAAUGGAGGGAACUCUGAUGCAGCAAUGCCGCGUGUGUGAAGAAGGCCUUAGGGUUGUAAAGCACUUUCAAUAGGGAGGAAAAGCUGUGUAUUAAUAGUGCAUAGCCGUGACGUUACCUAUAGAAGAAGGACCGGCUAACUCCGUGCCAGCAGCCGCGGUAAUACGGAGGGUCCGAGCGUUAAUCGGAAUUACUGGGCGUAAAGCGCGCGUAGGUGGUUAGACAAGUCAGAUGUGAAAGCCCCGGGCUCAACCUGGGAACUGCAUUUGAAACUGUCUGGCUAGAGUAUGGUAGAGGUGAGUGGAAUUUCAGGUGUAGCGGUGAAAUGCGUAGAGAUCUGAAGGAACAUCAGUGGCGAAGGCGACUCACUGGGCCAUUACUGACACUGAUGUGCGAAAGCGUGGGUAGCAAACAGGAUUAGAUACCCUGGUAGUCCACGCCCUAAACGAUGUCAACUACGUGUAUGGGAGUUUAACUCUUGUGUAUCGAAGCUAACGCGAUAAGUUGACGCUGGGAGUACGGCGCAAGCUAAACUCAAUGAAUGACGGGGCCCGCCCAAGCGGUGGAGCAUGUGAUUAUCGAUGCACGUCGAAGACCUACCAGGUCUUGAACUGUACGGAGCUGAAGGAUAGCUUGGCUUCGAACGUAACUCAGGUGCUCUGCAUGCUGUUUCCUCACGACUUC
Molecule: ribosomal RNA, 1043 nt
Filed under: uncultured Gammaproteobacteria bacterium
Lineage: Bacteria; Pseudomonadati; Pseudomonadota; Gammaproteobacteria
Description: bacterial SSU rRNA
Rfam family: Bacterial small subunit ribosomal RNA
Source: RNAcentral